UUAAAUAUUAAGUAGGACAAAGUGCUUGACAAGAAUCUGUUCAGGGAUCACUGAACUCGAAAGGUUUAAAAGUAAUUGAAAAUAAAACCAGCCAGGCUUACUGUCCUUUGGACCCUGUGACAGGUCACACAAACACACACCAGGAGAUCUGAGCUACAGCCUUGUACUGGGUUCCUCUCUCCUCUGCAAAACCAUCAUCCAUUCCCUGCAAAGACUGGCUGGCAGAGUUCCCAACCCAGUUUAACUUCUCCAGCAUGGGGCAGGGCACCCAUCGCUUUGCCCAUGCACACCAGCAUAUUCACGAGCUGGUUUCCCAGAAUGUCAACCUCUUCUCUCCCCAGCAAGGACAAGUCUAAACGGAUAUCAUGCUCAGCAGACUCAUUUUCCAUUCUCCAUGGCAAAGAAUCUGAGCCCUAGAGGAACGCGUUUCUCCCGAAGUCUCUCAGUCUCGCUUGCCGCUCUUGUUGAGAUCAAUUCAAACGCUGGGAAGAAGAUGGAUUAGCAGUUCCGUUUGGUAAAGGAGAAGGCAGAGCCUUGGGGAUUGUUUGACUUGAGUAUGUUGGAGGACAGACUGUGGGGCAAACAAGCAUCUUAUAUCAUGUGUUUUGAUGAAAAUGCAAGUGUGGAGGGAACAAGGAGAUGACUUUCCUUAGUUCUUAUCUUUGAAGGUGUUUGAGCAGGCAGCGCUGCCUUCUCGCCAUACGUCCUUAAAGUAAUUUACAACACUUCGGAUUGACUUCCCUAAAUAAAUCUCCCACGUGAA
This is a long non-coding RNA of Arvicola amphibius (Eurasian water vole), 763 nucleotides long. RefSeq lists it as uncharacterized. The record is from RefSeq and is a predicted model, not a curated record. The transcript has 3 exons. NCBI's taxonomy places the organism in Eukaryota, Metazoa, Chordata, Mammalia, Rodentia, Cricetidae.